Molecule: ribosomal RNA, 492 nt
Filed under: uncultured bacterium
Lineage: Bacteria
Description: partial 16S ribosomal RNA
Rfam family: Bacterial small subunit ribosomal RNA
Source: RNAcentral
AGUGAACGCUGGCGGUAGGCCUAACACAUGCAAGUCGAACGGCAGCACAGUAAUAGCUUGCUCUUACGGGUGGCGAGUGGCGGACGGGUGAGGAAUACAUCGGAAUCUACUUUUUCGUGGGGGAUGACGUAGGGAAACUUACGCUAAUACCGCAUACGACCUACGGGUGAAAGCAGCGGAUCUUCGGACCUUGCGCGAUUGAAUGAGCGGAUGUCGGAUUAGCUAGUUGGCGGGGUAAAGGCCCACCAAGGCGACGAUCCGUAGCUGGUCUGAGAGGAUGAUCAGCCACACUGGAACUGAGACACGGUCCAGACUCCUACGGGAGGCAGCAGUGGGGAAUAUUGGACAAUGGGCGAAAGCCUGAUCCAGCCAUGCCGCGUGGGUGAAGAAGGCCUUCGGGUUGUAAAGCACUUUUGUUGGGAAAGAAAAGCAGCAGGUUAAUACCCCGCUGUUAUGACGGUACCCAAAGAAUAAGCACCGGCUAACUUCGUG